Molecule: ribosomal RNA, 558 nt
Filed under: Colletotrichum sp. AX21
Lineage: Eukaryota; Fungi; Ascomycota; Sordariomycetes; Glomerellales; Glomerellaceae
Description: eukaryotic LSU rRNA
Rfam family: 5.8S ribosomal RNA (bases 234-387)
Source: RNAcentral
CGUAACAAGGUCUCCGUUGGUGAACCAGCGGAGGGAUCAUUACUGAGUUACCGCUCUAUAACCCUUUGUGAACAUACCUACAACUGUUGCUUCGGCGGGUAGGCCGUCCCCUGAAAAGGACGCCUCCCGGCCCGGACCGGACCCCCCGCGGGACCGGACCCGGCGCCCGCCGGAGGAUAACCAAACUCUAUUGUAACGACGUUUCUUCUGAGUGGCAUAAGCAAAAUAAUCAAAACUUUUAACAACGGAUCUCUUGGUUCUGGCAUCGAUGAAGAACGCAGCGAAAUGCGAUAAGUAAUGUGAAUUGCAGAAUUCAGUGAAUCAUCGAAUCUUUGAACGCACAUUGCGCCCGCCAGCAUUCUGGCGGGCAUGCCUGUUCGAGCGUCAUUUCAACCCUCAAGCUCUGCUUGGUGUUGGGGCUCUACGGUCGACGUAGGCCCUCAAAGGUAGUGGCGGACCCUCCCGGAGCCUCCUUUGCGUAGUAACAUUUCGUCUCGCACUGGGAUCCGGAGGGACUCUUGCCGUAAAACCCCCCAAUUUCCAAAGGUGACCUCGAUC